This 1466-nucleotide long non-coding RNA is filed under the name Felis catus (domestic cat). RNAcentral describes it as "lncRNA (ENSFCAG00000047429.1)". Lineage: Eukaryota; Metazoa; Chordata; Mammalia; Carnivora; Felidae. The record is from RNAcentral.
CCACAAUUGCUCAUGACUCAGCAGGAACAUGCUCACUGAGCUAGGACAGCAGGAGCUAUGACCCUGGACUCUGGAUCCUCCCCUCUCUCCUGAUACUAUCAUGUAGGUGUAUGUGAUGCCAUGGGAAUAAUGGGGUGGCUGAGAGCAAGAGCGGGUGGGGAGAAGGAAGUAAGCAGGGCCUUGAAGAACACCUCUCGGGGGCGCCUGGGUGGCGCAGUCGGUUAAGCGUCCAACUUCAGCCAGGUCACCAUCUCGCGGUCCGUGAGUUCGAGCCCAGCGUCAGGCUCUGGGCUGAUGGCUCAGAGCCUGGAGCCUGUUUCCGAUUCUGUGUCUCCCUCUCUCUCUCUGCCCCUCCCCCGUUCAUGCUCUGUCUCUCUCUGUCCCAAAAAUAAAUAAACAUUGAAAAAAAAAAAUUAAAAAAAAAAAAAAAAAAAGAACACCUCUCGGAGGCCAGGCAGGGGAGAAACAGCCAGCCUGGGAGCUGGAAAAAGUGACUAGAGAGGCAGAUGGAAAAAUCAGGAGAACUUGGUGACUGAGAAGACAUGAGAUUGCUCCAGGGUGGAGGGAGAAGGCAGCAGUACCCAAUACUAGCGGGAGAGUGUUCUCCUAAGGUUUGGGCUGAAAUGCACCCAGGGGACUUGGCAACACAAAGCGCAUCAGUGACUUCUGCCAACUGUCGAGGAUCAGGUAGCUCCACUGUUUAAAGCCCUCAAAGCUUCCCAGCGCCCUCCAAAUAAAGCAGCCUCUGCUCCAGCAUUGCCUCUCACUAGUUUCACGUGUUUGCGCCCAGCUGCUCCCACGGACACAGGCCACGUGCUCUCUCAUCCCUGCAGUUCCCUCGGCCUGCAACCCUUUCCUCCUCUCAAACUCCCCUAUGUCCUUCCCCACUCGUUCUAGUAUCAUCUCAGCCAGAAAGCCUUCCCUGACCCCCAGGUUGGGCUGCGUGGGCCUCUUUUUUUUUUUUCCCAUCCCAUCACAUGCUGGGAUGAGUAAGGCAUAUUUCCUCUUUGUCUGCUUCUGGCCGGACGUGCAGCGCUAUGUUUCUGAGCAAGCUGGAAAGGAAGCCUUGGUGAUGGAAGCGGGGGCGCAUCCAGCUUCUCCCCUGACCAGGUUUCUACAUUCCUCCUGGGACUCAAACAUCACCUCCACAUGAAGACUCUCUUGGAGUCUAAAGUCUAGGAUCGUCCAGAUGGUCACACUCUCCAAGCAUAGCACUACAUUUUGUAGAAUUGCUCAAAGAAGGAAAGAAAAGCUAAGUAUGUUUUCUUCAAGGUCCCAGCUUUUAUACUGUGUGGUGGGUUCGGGGUUCUUAUUUCAAUGUUUCAUUAAAAGUAUGUCAAUGUAGGCAUAGAUCAAUGAUGAGUCAGUAACUAAUGAUUAUGACUUAUGUGAUUCUGUGCACCUAAGGGCUGUUAAAAGGCUAAUGAAAAAGAAAGCUUAAAUAAAUAGAAAUGAAAAACUUUACA